This is a small nucleolar RNA of Ornithorhynchus anatinus (platypus), 138 nucleotides long. The record is from RefSeq and is a predicted model, not a curated record. Lineage: Eukaryota; Metazoa; Chordata; Mammalia; Monotremata; Ornithorhynchidae.
UCCCUAUCAGGGUCAUAUCUGGAGAGUUUCCAGUACUCUACCAGACUUGACUAUGGGAGGAAGAGUCAAGCAGAAGCAUAUCCAUUCCAUUCCUAGCUUGGCCAGUGGCUAGCAAGUAGAAGGCAAUCUGCUAUAAGU